RNAcentral lists this ribosomal RNA (334 nucleotides) under uncultured bacterium. Its description in RNAcentral is "bacterial SSU rRNA". It matches the Rfam family "Bacterial small subunit ribosomal RNA", at positions 29 to 362 of the family's 1533-position model. The record is from RNAcentral.
AUUGAACGCUGGCGGAAUGCUUUACACAUGCAAGUCGAACGGCAGCACGGGUGCUUGCACCUGGUGGCGAGUGGCGAACGGGUGAGUAAUGCGUCGGAACGUGCCGAGUAAUGGGGGAUAACGCAGCGAAAGUUGUGCUAAUACCGCAUACGCCCUGAGGGGGAAAGUGGGGGAUCGCAAGACCUCACGUUAUUCGAGCGGCCGACGUCUGAUUAGCUAGUUGGUGGGGUAAAGGCCUACCAAGGCGACGAUCAGUAGCGGGUCUGAGAGGAUGAUCCGCCACACUGGGACUGAGACACGGCCCAGACUCCUACGGGAGGCAGCAGUGGGGAAG